Long non-coding RNA from Erinaceus europaeus (western European hedgehog), 1181 nucleotides. RefSeq lists it as uncharacterized. The record is from RefSeq and is a predicted model, not a curated record. Lineage: Eukaryota; Metazoa; Chordata; Mammalia; Eulipotyphla; Erinaceidae. The transcript is spliced from 3 exons.
UCUGUUUCCUUCCUUCCUUUGGUUUGUUGUUGUUGUUGUUGUUGUUGUUGUUGUAGUUAUUAUUGUUGUUCUUAUUGAUGUUGUUGUUGUUGGAUAGGACAGAGAGAAAUGGAGAGAGGAGGGGAAGCAGAGAGGGGGAGAGAAAGAGAGACACCUGCAGACCUGCUUCACCUUCGACGCCCCUGCAGGUGGGGAGCUGGGGGCUCAAACUGGGAUCCUUAUGCUGGUCCUUGCGCUUUGUGCCACGUGCGUUUAACCCACUGUGCUACCGCCUGACUCCUUCCUUAUUUUGGAAGUGAUUUUUUUUUCAGAUUUUUUUUUUUGUACUGCCACAUGGGUUAUUGAUGGGGUUCAAUGCUGGCACUACAAAUCCACUGUUCCCAGCAGCCUUUUUUUACAUUUUUUUUCUACUUUAUGUUUCAUUUCAUAGGACAGAGAGAAACUGAGAGGGCAGAGGAGAGAGACAGAUGGACAGACACCUGAAGAUCUACUUCACCGCUUAUGAAGCCUCUCCUAUGCAGUGCUUCCUCUGUGGUGUGGACGCUCAGACCUGGACCCUGUGCACGGCAAGCCCUACCAUGUGAGCUGUCUUCCAGCCCAUUCUGACUGUGUUUGCAGUUGUAAAGAUCAAGCGGCAUUAGCAGAGCCAGGUUUCUCUACAACACUCAGCCUCAUCCUUCUGCCAGGGCAAGCACCUGCUCUGCUUAAGUCCUCAAGAUGCCCUGAGUGCCUGGAAUCCUGGUGUCUCCUGCCAGCAGCAGAGGGAGCCCACACUCUAUCGAAAAGAAGUGAGUUUCUCAUAAUACAAAGCAGAAAACACUAUUAUUUUCUUCCUUGUCUCCUUCUUUCCUCCUUCCUUCCUUCCUUCCUUCCUUCCUUCCUUCCUUCCUUCCUUCCUUUCUUUCUUUCUUUCUUUUUUUUUUUUGUGUGUAUGUGUGUAUCUGCCACACAGUAUGUCCUUAAAGAUAAAGCUUCAGGGAGUCGGGCAGUUGUGCAGCAGGUUAAGCGCACAUGGUGCAAAGCGCAAGGACCAGCUAAGGAUCCCAGUUCGAGCCCCUGGCUCCCCACCUACAGGGGAGUCGCUUCACAAGUGGUGAAGCAGGUCUGCAGGUGUCUGUCUUUCUCUCCCCUUCUCUGUCUUCUUCUCCUCUCUCCAUUUCUCUCUGUCCUAUCCAACAUCA